AGGACGAACGCUGGCGGCGUGCUUAACACAUGCAAGUCGAGCGGAAAGGCCUUUCGGGGUACUCGAGCGGCGAACGGGUGAGUAACACGUGAGUAAUCUGCCCAUCGCUUCAGGAUAGCCAUCGGAAACGGUGAUUAAUACUGGAUAUGGCAUUCCUUCGCAUGGUUGGGGUGUGGUAAAGUUUUUUCGGCGGUGGAUGUGCUCGCGGCCUAUCAGCUUGUUGGUGGGUAAUCGGCCU
This 238-nucleotide ribosomal RNA is filed under the name uncultured soil bacterium. Its description in RNAcentral is "partial 16S ribosomal RNA". It matches the Rfam family "Bacterial small subunit ribosomal RNA", at positions 26 to 266 of the family's 1533-position model. The record is from RNAcentral.